AGAGUUUGAUCAUGGCUCAGGACUAACGCUGGCGGCGUGCCUAACACAUGCAAGUCGAACGAGGUAGCAAUACCUAGUGGCAGACGGGUGAGUAACACGUGGUCAACCUGCCUCCGUGUGGGGGAUAACUAGCCGAAAGGUUAGCUAAUACCGCAUACGAUCGUUUGAGGGCAUCCUCGGACGAUGAAAGGAGCAAUCCG
RNAcentral lists this ribosomal RNA (200 nucleotides) under uncultured bacterium. RNAcentral's name for it is "partial 16S ribosomal RNA". It matches the Rfam family "Bacterial small subunit ribosomal RNA", at positions 8 to 217 of the family's 1533-position model. The record is from RNAcentral.